Molecule: long non-coding RNA, 570 nt
Organism: Varroa destructor (honeybee mite)
Lineage: Eukaryota; Metazoa; Arthropoda; Arachnida; Mesostigmata; Varroidae
Source: RefSeq, a predicted model, not a curated record
ACAACGAUGGCCACGGGACUGACAACGCGGACCUUAUGCCUUUUAGUAGAGAAAUCUAAAGGACCCCAAAGCCGGAAGUUAUAAGGCACUCUGGGCCGAUAAUCGGUCAAGGAUGAAAAACCUGAAUCGCGCUCAGAAUACCUACUACGCAUCUUCCGUUUAUAUGAUGUCGCUAUUCAUCAACGUUAAGGGUAAUUGAAAUGUAUUCGUUCAAAUUAACAUGGAGAAAGGUUGUAUCUACGCCAAAAAGAAUUUCGCGCGCGCUCGGGUUCUUAUUGUAGCUACGCAGAAAACAACUGUAGACCCUCACUGUAAGAAUGUUGAAGCAUUACUUGGAACUGGAAGUUGAAGCCCUAGCUCGACCAGAAAAUUCUAGUUAAACGCUUCCGGACGCGCAUCGUCCCCACUAGAGCGCCAGAAGCAAGAGCAAAAACUGCCACGCUAGCGUUACAUCAGCAAAUCUGUAACGAAACGCAGUCUGGUGUAGCUGUUCAUGGGCCUUUUUGACCUGUACAUAUUUGAAGGUCGAUUGAAUACUUCUUCGUAGGCCAAUAUUAGAACAUAAAUGGA